RNAcentral lists this ribosomal RNA (1476 nucleotides) under uncultured bacterium. RNAcentral's name for it is "16S ribosomal RNA". It matches the Rfam family "Bacterial small subunit ribosomal RNA". The record is from RNAcentral.
AGAGUUUGAUCCUGGCUCAGGAUAAACGUUAGCGGCAGGUCUUACACAUGCAAGUCGAGGGGUAACGGAGGUGCUUGCACUUGCCGACGACCGGCGCACGGGUGAGUAACGAGUAUGUAACUUGCCUCGCACAGGAGGAUAGUCAUUGGAAACAGUGUUUAAUACUCCAUAGUAUCAAUAUGAGGCAUUUUGUAUUGAUUAAACAUUUAUGGGUGCGAGAUAGGCAUGCUUCAGAUUAGCUAGUUGGAGAGGUAAAAGCUCACCAAGGCGACGAUCUGUAGGGGUCCUGAGAGGGAAGUCCCCCACACUGGUACUGAGACACGGACCAGACUACUACGGUAGGCAGCAGUGAAGAAUAUUGGUCAAUGGGCGAGAGCCUGAACCAGCCAUGCCGCGUGCAGGAAUAAGGUCUUACAGAUUGUAAACUGCUUUUAAACAGGAGGAAGAUCGUCAUGUAUGGCGAGAUUGACGUUACUGUAAGAAUAAGUAUCGGCUAACUCCGUGCCAGCAGCCGCGGUAAUACGGAGGAUACAAACGUUAUCCGGAUUUAUUGGGUUUAAAGAGUCUGUAGGCGGACAGAUAAGUCAGAGGUAAAAGAUAGUGGCUUAACCAUAUAUAAGCCUUUGAAACUGUUUGUCUUGAAUUAUGUUAAAGUUAGAGGGAUGUGGCAAGUAGCGGUGAAAUGCGUAGAUAUGUCACAGAACACCGGUAGUGAAGGCGUUUAAUUGAACCUAUAUGGACGCUGAGAGACGAAAGCUGGGGGAGCGAACAGGCUUAGAUACCUGGUAGUCCAAGCCGUAAACGAUGAUUACUAGUUGUUUGUUUUUCGGGACAGAUGACCAAGCGAAAGCGAUAAGUAAUCCACCUGGGGAGUACGGUCGCAAGGCUGAAACUCAAAGGAAUAGACGGGGACCCGCACAAGCGGUGGAGCAUGUGGUUUAAUUCGAUGAUACGCGAGGAACCUUACCAAGGCUUAAAUGCAAGACGAAUAUAGUGGAAACAUUAUAGUCUUCGGACGUUUUGCAAGGUGCUGCAUGGUUGUCGUCAGCUCGUGCCGUGAGGUGUCAGGUUAAGUCCUAUAACGAGCGCAACCCCUGUUGUUAGUUGCCAGCGAGUGAAGUCGGGGACUCUAACGAGACUGCCUACGUAAGUAGAGAGGAAGGAGGGGACGACGUCAAAUCAUCACGGCCCUUACGUUUUGGGCUUCACACGUGCUACAAUGGUGCAUACAAAGAGAAGCGAGCUUGUGAGAGUGAGCGGAUCUCAUAAAGUGCAUCUCAGUUCGGAUCGGAGUCUGCAACUCGACUCUGUGAAGUUGGAAUCGCUAGUAAUCGUAUAUCAGCCAUGAUACGGUGAAUAUGUUCCCGGGUCUUGUACUCACCGCCCGUCAAAUCACGGGAGCUGGGGGUGCCUAAAGUCAGUGACCGCAAGGAGCUGCCUAGGGCAAAACUAGUGACUGGGAUUAAGUCGUAACAA